Molecule: long non-coding RNA, 258 nt
Organism: Zonotrichia leucophrys gambelii
Lineage: Eukaryota; Metazoa; Chordata; Aves; Passeriformes; Passerellidae
Exons: 3
Source: RefSeq, a predicted model, not a curated record
AGAAGCAGGAACAAUGCUGCCGUGAAGAGCUGUGUGUGAGAAAACCACUCAGAAGGGCUGUCCAUGAGAUCAGAGGAGGUUCCCUUGGGUCUGGAGACCAUGCAGCCUCUCAGCUCUUUUGUUUGCUUUCUGAGUGCUCAGAGCCUCUGUCCUCCCUGCAGAAGCAGAAGCACCAGCUUGUCCCAUGUGGGUUCCUGCACAGAAGUGAGUGGCUCAAAGGGGGUUUCAGCAUCUCACUUGGAGGACUUCUUUGGUCUG